This 652-nucleotide ribosomal RNA is filed under the name uncultured Chlorobiota bacterium. Its description in RNAcentral is "bacterial SSU rRNA". The stretch from base 101 to 652 matches the Rfam family "Bacterial small subunit ribosomal RNA", at positions 1 to 1097 of the family's 1533-position model. The record is from RNAcentral. Lineage: Bacteria; Pseudomonadati; Chlorobiota.
ACCGCUCUCUACGAUACUAGUAACUACGAGGCNCUGUGAGCUAGUCGUCGAUGCAAGAUGAGUGUUAUGCAUGCGACUGGUGCAACGGUUUUGAUGUCUUGUCAAGUAGUGUAUGUCACACGGUAUGUGAUCGACGUGUCGAUCUGGUAGUGCAGCGAGUAGUCAGUGAAUUUGUAGAGACUGCCUUUGAUACUAUCAGUCUUGAGUCCGGUAGAGAUCUGUGGAAUUCCGAGUGUAGCAGUGAAAUGUGUAGAUAUUCGGAAGAACACCAGUGGCGAAGGCAGCAGAUUGGGCCGGUACUGACGCUCAUGCACGAAAGCGUGGGGAUCAAACAGGAUUAGAUACCCUGGUAGUCCACGCCCUAAACGAUGUACACUUGAUGUCGGCCUGUAAGGGUCGGUGUCGGAGCUAACGCGUUAAGUGUACCACCUGGGGAGUACGCUCGCAAGGGUGAAACUCACAGGAAUUGACGGGGGCCCGCACAAGCAGUGGAGCAUGUGGUUUAAUUCGAUGCAACGCGAAGAACCUUACCUAGGCUUGAAAAGUAUUCUAAACCUGUGAAAGCAGGGUACCCGCAAGGGGGGAUAUACAGGUGCUGCAUGGCUGUCGUCAGCCCGUGCCGUGAGGUGUUUGGUUAAGUCCCGCAACGAGC